CAGUAGCCGCGGGAAUACGUAGGGUGCGAGCGUUAAUCGGAAUUACUGGGCGUAAAGCGUGCGCAGGCGGUUAUAUAAGACAGAUGUGAAAUCCCCGGGCUCAACCUGGGACCUGCAUUUGUGACUGUAUAGCUAGAGUACGGUAGAGGGGGAUGGAAUUCCGCGUGUAGCAGUGAAAUGCGUAGAUAUGCGGAGGGACACCGAUGGCGAAGGCAAUCCCCUGGACCUGUACUGACGCUCAUGCACGAAAGCGUGGGGAGCAAACAGGAUUAGAUACCCCUGUAGUCCCUGUCUCUUAUAC
RNAcentral lists this ribosomal RNA (301 nucleotides) under uncultured bacterium. Its description in RNAcentral is "partial 16S ribosomal RNA". It matches the Rfam family "Bacterial small subunit ribosomal RNA", at positions 509 to 807 of the family's 1533-position model. The record is from RNAcentral.